Molecule: long non-coding RNA, 3816 nt
Organism: Meleagris gallopavo (turkey)
Lineage: Eukaryota; Metazoa; Chordata; Aves; Galliformes; Phasianidae
Source: Ensembl
UAGUACUUCCAGCAAGAGGCAAGAGUAAUAGGAACACAGAAUUACCAGCUGUUGCAAUCAAGACAAGAUACAAAAAGAUGCUGCAGAUUUCUCCAUUCAUUUACAUCUGAAGAUAUGAUCCAUUGCCCAAGCAUGGCAGCUGCAAAGGGAUAUAAUCAUACUUUUGGCUCUAAAUUCAAAUGAUCAUGAUGGGCUUAUGGCAGUCCUGCUGUAUUCACAUGUUGAAGUACUCUUAUACACAAGCUGUGGAUGCUCAAUUUUUGGCUGUAUAUCUACUUGGAAAUGUCCCAUACUGCUUGAUAAGACCCAGAUGGCAACCAGAUGGCUCCAUGUAACUCUUUGGAAGUGCUGUUGCAGACUGAGAGUAAGAAACUGAAUACUUUUCCAGACACGAUCUGUUUACGAUAAGAAAGAGAAGUUAUGGGAUGGUGAUGAUUCACACGAUCACGGUAUUUUCCAGUCACAUGCAUAGGUAAUGAUUAAACUGCUUCUUCCAGUCACACAUCAGGAAGUCAUAGUAGAAUUUGAGCCAUUUUUUUUCAUUUCUCAACUCCAUUGGCUUCCCAUGCACUUCUGUAAGUCACCACACUCUUCUCUUAAUAGAAAAAACCUCUUAUUAGGCAGAAGGGCUAAAAGAUGAUUUAGCAUAACCUGUAAUACCAGACAUCUUUCUCCCUCUCUCACUCACUGUUUUAGUUUGCAGUCAAAGAAAAUACGCUGAUGGGAAGAUUUAGAGAUUUAAACAAGGCCUGCAGUAUUUAAACAUUGCUACUCUAAUAUUGCUACAGUGCUAUGAAAAGUUAACACACCCUGGUUUCUAGAUCUGUGGAAAUUUGUGUGCUUACAGGAAUUUCUUUAGGGAAAGUCUUUGAAGAAAUGUGUUUGGCUCCAGGUGGGUUACAUUUUCUCAUCCUACUAGUGCUUCCUAAUGUUGGUCACCAAGUUACUGAGAAGUUUUUGUUUUAUCUUAGUUUAGAAGCUAUAAUGCAUCCAUCAACCAUCAGCAAAUGACCUUCAUGGUGAUACCUGACACAAACAUUUCAAAAUCAUUUGAGUGAAGCUUCUUGGAAUCAAAAUGUAUUGUUCUGUGAGAUGUAAAUUAAAUAAUUUUCAGCUCUGCAAACAAAGGAUACAUUAUACUGGUUUGUAGUUAAACACAUCAGACAUCUAUUAAGGAGAAAAACAACCACAUGAGAUAAUGAAUGUGCAAUGAUAGGGGAAUGUAUAUGUGUGUAUGCAUGAAGGAGAUUCAGGACAGAGGCAAAAGGAUGGAAGGGAAAUGUCUGUGGUGGAUAACAGAUUUAAAUGCAGGAAAGUACUGCCACUCAGAAUGAGAAUCAACGUUUUCUUUUAAAUAUCAUAACUGUCAUUUUGAUGAGAGAAGACCCAACACAAUUACAUUCAUGGGAGCCUAAAUCAUUUAGUUGAAUGCUAAUAUUUUUAUGAUUUGGUAUUUUGAAACUGUCCAAUCUGUUAAGGAACUCCUGUCUAAAGUUUCCUUUCUUCACUUCAUUCUGCUAUACAGUGUCAAUAUUGCAUAUUUUAAUGGUUUCUGCCCUGUCUUGAAUAUUUUUUCUCUGAGUGUUUCUCAUUACUCACCAUUGUGAAUUUUAAUUUUUAUGUAGUUUAAGCUGCUCGUACUUAUUAAGAAUGUAAUAAAAUCAGUAAUAGGGAAGAUCCAAAAUAGCUUUGGAAAGUCCCUUCAGAAGCGUUUGUUUUCUGCUUUCAUACUGCCAUCUUCAGCGUAAGUAUUAAAACUACAGUUACUACAUAUCCUUACAGUCAUGACUUUGUUUUCUUCCAUUAAAUUAUCCUUUUACAAACUCGAAAGUGGGUUUUAAAUACUGCCAAAUUAAAAUAGUUGCACUUUACAAACAGGGAGGCAAAUACACGAAGGAGAACCAGGUUAUCUGUGCUGACUGUUCUGUACACUGCAGCAUCAUGUUGAACAAACAGCUUUAUAUUAACAUGUUUAAUUGUCUUGUCAUAUAUAUUGUCUAGAACAAGUAUUUCCAUUUUGAUCAAAGUCCAAAAAAGAAUUCUCCACCAUGAAGAUUUAUUUGUAGAUCUUUGAUUUCCAAGAAUAUGAUGAGAGGUUUCCAGUUUGUAAACACAGAAAAAUUAUUCCCCCAUAUUUUCAUAAGUAGAAUAUGUCCUGUUCUUUUUUUGUCACUGUGUUCCAGGAGUAAGGAUCUGCCUCGUGGUGCCUAGCUUCCAUUUUCAAAGUUGACUAUUGAUUUAGAAACUAACAUAACCUGAUUCUCAGAAAGUUUUGAGCUACUUGGUCCCCCAUCAGGCUACCUUCAGGGCAUUCACAGACUGCUGGCUGAGAUGGAGGAGGCUCUGUGAUUUAAUAAAUUAUUGCUGAUGAGCUGAACCUUACUGCUCAUACAGCAAGUAAGAGCUGAAAUAGCUGAUCUUGUAGUAAUAAGGACUCAGUUAUGAUAGUAUGAUAAUGGGCAGGUCAUUAGUAUCUGUCUAAAGGGAUAAAGCUUUGCAGUUCUUGUUUAUCAAAGCUGUAUCUGACGAUAUAUCACCUGAAAUACACGAGUCAAUGUAUUCAGAGAUUACCACCAAGAAAAUAUGAAAAAGGACUAUUUUCUGUAGGGCUGCACUGAGUUAACAAGUGCAAAUCAAGAAGCAGUAUUCAUGAACAGACAGUCCCUUGGAAGAAGUAAAGAAACAAACAAACAAAAAAGAAGAAAAAACAACAGAAAAAGAAAUCUAAAUCUUUAAUAUUUGCACAGAGCAUCGUAUUUAAUCUUUGUUCAGUUCUGAUUAAGAACAAUAAAAGACUGUGUGAAAGGAAAAGCCACAUUCUAAAAUUGAAAAGAUUGAGAGAUUAAAUCUUAUAAGUUCCCCAAUUAUCUCAGUCAAAUAUAAUGACAGCUAUUAGAGAAUGAUUACAAUUUUUGUGGUCAUUCUGUCUUUCUAAUACUAUUACAUAUGUGCAGAUCUCAUUUUUUUAAUCAGGUUUCCUUCUUCACUUAAGUGAUCCAUGGAUUGACCAUGUGGAACUCAAAUUAUAUUCUUGCUUGCUUAUUUUACUUGUGAGACAGGCAGAAAAUUCUAACUGAACAUUAAAUAUAUAAUCAAACAAAGCCCCUGACUGUGUGGGCAGGAAAGGCAGAUGGUUAUAUCAUUGUGAAGUUCCUUCUCAGCACAAAGAGAAGAAAAAAAAAAAGAUUUUCUAGCAGAUAGACAGCAAGGAGCAUUCCAAAAGCUUCCCAAAAGAUUAAACGCUGUUGUACUAAAAAUAUCUGAUGUCAGCUUUCUGGGGAUGGGUCAAAUAUAGGCAUAUUUCAUUGCUUCUCAUAAUCUAUGGCAUACCUUGAAAUGAUUCUUGGCAUUAAUCACCUUUUCAAACUUACUUUUUUUUCCCUUUAAAUGCCUAUUUGAAAAUAAACUUACUUUCUCAUAAGCACACAUUUGAACAGGUUGCUUUACAUCCUCACAUGUUAACUGAAGUAUGUCAUGAAUUAGUCAAUAGUUGACAGUAGUCUUUGGGAAAUAAAUGUUUGCUCAGCAAGUUUGCUUGUGGAACAUAUUACAUCUAGAUUCCAUUCUUCCUGACAUUUGAGUGGUGGGUCUGAAAAGUAUGACAUCUGUUCCUGGAUGUGCUUUGAACUGGACAGAGAUGGGCACUGUCAACAGGAGGUAAAUCUAUGCUAGAGAAGUGUGCUCUGUAAAUAAAUAAUUUUGUAUCACUUAAACUUGCUUUUACCCUGUAAAUUGGCAGAAGAAGUGGCCUGUCCAGUUUUUAAAGUCAUAGUAAUUAUAUCAUUGAAUAUAAAUGAGUACCAUAACAUCAUAAGG